GCGCAAGCGUUGUCCGGAAUUAUUGGGCGUAAAGAGCUUGUAGGUGGCUUGUCGCGUCUGCCGUGAAAACCCGAGGCUCAACCUCGGGCGUGCGGUGGGUACGGGCAGGCUAGAGUGUGGUAGGGGAGACUGGAACUCCUGGUGUAGCGGUGAAAUGCGCAGAUAUCAGGAAGAACACCGAUGGCGAAGGCAGGUCUCUGGGCCAUUACUGACACUGAGAAGCGAAAGCAUGGGUAGCGAACAGGAUUAGAUACCCUGGUAGUCCAUGCCGUAAACGUUGGGCACUAGAUGUGGGGGACAUUCCACGUUUUCCGCGUCGUAGCUAACGCAUUAAGUGCCCCGCCUGGGGAGUACGGCCGCAAGGCUAAAACUCAAAGGAAUUGACGGGGGCCCGCACAAGCGGCGGAGCAUGCUGAUUAAUUCGAUGCAACGCGAAGAACCUUACCAAGGCUUGACAUGCACCGGACGACCUCAGAGAUGGGGUUUUCUUCGGACUGGUGCACAGGUGGUGCAUGGUUGUCGUCAGCUCGUGUCGUGAGAUGUUGGGUUAAGUCCCGCAACGAGCGCAACCCUUGUUCUAUGUUGCCAGCACGUGAUGGUGGGGACUCAUAGGAGACUGCCGGGGUCAACUCGGAGGAAGGUGGGGACGACGUCAAAUCAUCAUGCCCCUUAUGUCUUGGGCUUCAAGCACGCUACAAUGGUCGGUACAAUGGGUUGCGAAACUGUGAGGUGGAGCGAAUCCCAAAAAGCCGGCCUCAGUUCGGAUUGGGGUCUGCAACUCGACCCCAUGAAGUCGGAGUCGCUAG
RNAcentral lists this ribosomal RNA (806 nucleotides) under uncultured bacterium. RNAcentral describes it as "bacterial SSU rRNA". It matches the Rfam family "Bacterial small subunit ribosomal RNA", at positions 532 to 1338 of the family's 1533-position model. The record is from RNAcentral.